AUCCAGCUGACGAGUCCCAAAUAGGACGAAAGGACGUGCGUCCUGGAG
Schistosoma rodhaini is the source of this 48-nucleotide non-coding RNA. NCBI's taxonomy places the organism in Eukaryota, Metazoa, Platyhelminthes, Trematoda, Strigeidida, Schistosomatidae. The record is from Rfam.